GGAAUCUUCCACAGUGGACGCAAGUCUGAUGGAGCAACGCCGCGUGAGUGAAGAAGGUUUUCGGAUCGUAAAGCUCUGUUGUUGGUGAAGAAGGAUAGAGGCAGUAACUGGUCUUUAUUUGACGGUAAUCAACCAGAAAGUCACGGCUAACUACGUGCCAG
RNAcentral lists this ribosomal RNA (161 nucleotides) under uncultured bacterium. RNAcentral describes it as "partial 16S rRNA". It matches the Rfam family "Bacterial small subunit ribosomal RNA", at positions 358 to 511 of the family's 1533-position model. The record is from RNAcentral.